GUUCAUCUUAAUAAGCAUGCCAGAUGAGUCAUUAUCUGAGAGGGAAUUCAAAUUCAAGAUUUGUUUCUUUAAAAGCACUUUUAUUCUAUUUAACAAAUACAUGUUAUUUCAAAGGGAGAUAUUAAUAAAUCUUUGAAAGCCAACAUUUUCUAUGCUAUGAUAAUUCCAUAGACAUUGGGAAAGAGAAAAUAUUUAUAAAGCAUUUAGUGAUGAGUAAUUCACAAGGAAAUGAUUAUAAAUACAAGUCAAACAAAUUGGCAAUUGUUUGCAUUUCAAAUUAAAAAUCACAUGGAAUGAUGCAUUGCUGUUUUGCUUCAUGAGCAUUUUAGGGAAAGCUAUUCCUACCUACUUUUGUGAGGCACACAUGGAGGUCUAGCUGAUAGAACAGCAAUAUGUGAAUCUGGAUUUUAUAAAGUCCCUCCUGCCUCUAUCAGACCUUGUUGUGUGGCCUGGGCAAUUUACUUUGUAUUAUCUGUACUUGUUUCCUCAUCGGUAAAGCUGAGAAUAAAAUAAUUUUUUAAAAAGUGAAAUCAUUGAUUUCAAUGAUCAAGCAUGCUAACAAUUUAUUGGGACCAAACUAUGGUUUUCACAACAAAUAUGUUUUUCCUGAAGUAACAGAUAUUCCUAAUAGAUUGAAUUCCAUACAGACUUUUUAGAUAAUCAUGCAUGUCUACUUAAGAUACAAGGAAAUGAACUUGAAAAGGAGAUAAGACUGAUACCCAGGGUCACAUGGGUAUCAGAAAAACUAGUUAAUGCCUUGUUUAUAGAAAUGUUCAACAAAUGUUAUAUACUAUAAUCCUAUGAUGUUCAAUGCAGAUUAUCCACCAACAGACUUCACUUAUUUAAUGACUCCUUAAAUGAGGCUACCAGCAUAUGUGCUUGUCCUUAUCCUGUAUGUAUUAUCAAAAAGCAAAAAGGUAAAGAUAUUAAGUCCCUUCUCAAUAGGCAUACUUAAAAAACACAACAAACUUAUUUGUAUCCUCAACUAAUGGAAUGAUAUACAGUGUGUGGCUAGGGAAGGAGAUAGGUUAGCAUCUGUGGACAAAAUCAUACCAGCCCUAUUUCUCCACAGACAGACAGAUGGACAAAAAGCACAUGAGAGGAAGCUCAACACCACUAAUUAUUAGAGACAUGCAAAUCAAAACUGCAAGAAAUAUCAUUUCACAUCAGUCAGAAUUGGUAUUAUCAAAAAAAUCUAUAAACAAUAAAUGCUGGAGAAGGUGUGAAGGAAGGGGAACCCUCCCACACAGUUGCUGGAAAUGUAAAUUGAUGCAGUCACUAUGGAGAAAAGUGUGGUGAUUCCUUAUAAAAUAAAAAUAGAACCAUAUAAUAUUUCAUAGCAUACCAUAUGAUAUAGCAAUCCCAUUCCUGAUAAUAUAGCUGGAGAAAACCAUAAUUUGAAAAGAUACAUGCACUCCAAUGUUCAUAGCAGCACUAUUUACAAUGCCAAGACAUAGUAGUAACCUAAAUGUCCAUUGAUAGAGGAAUGGAUAAAGAAGAUGUGGUACAUAUAUACAAUGGAAUACUACUCAGCCAUAAAAAAAGAAUGAAAUAAUGCCAUUUGCAGCAACAUGGAUGGAUCUAGAACUUAUACUAAGCGAAGUAAGACGGAGAAAGACAAAUAUCAUAUGAGAUCACAA
RNAcentral lists this long non-coding RNA (1640 nucleotides) under Sus scrofa (pig). RNAcentral's name for it is "lncRNA (ENSSSCG00025044165.1)". Lineage: Eukaryota; Metazoa; Chordata; Mammalia; Artiodactyla; Suidae. The record is from RNAcentral.